Long non-coding RNA from Patella vulgata (common limpet), 1348 nucleotides. RefSeq lists it as uncharacterized. The transcript has 3 exons. Lineage: Eukaryota; Metazoa; Mollusca; Gastropoda; Patellidae. The record is from RefSeq and is a predicted model, not a curated record.
GCGGAUGGGUAAGCAUAAUGACAGAGGAUUGAACUUUGAAACAUGCAAAUCGCCAAUGCAGAAAUAUAUAUAUAUGUAUAAGGGUGGAGUCACAAAUAGCUGAUAGUUAAUUACUGCUUCUUUUCAAACGCCUAUUCAUCCAGUGAAUGCUACAAUUUUGAAUAUAUGACGAAUGUGUAUUUAGAAGACCAAUUCUGGGUUCAUACCAUACCCUAUAUUACAGACAACAUCUGUUUUUAUCCGGUUUAAUAGUUUGUAAUUAAGUGAACUAGUUUAAUCUACGUCUUGGACAAAAACGAGUUUAUCGCUUACUGGAAUGCGAGCAUUUCGACACCAUGGAAUCAUUUUCGGAAAUUGUUAUUUUUGUUGUGAUUUCACUAGGAACUAUUGAAGUUGGAGCAAUUAAUCCUUGUGAAAAUUACCGUGACUUUAAUUUGAUACGUGGAGUGUCAUGUAACACCUAUUUAUUUUGUUUCCUUGGAAAGCCGUUUAGACAAGGAUGGUGUUACCUAGGAACUGGAUUCGACCCUAUUUUAAAAAGAUGUACUUGGCAAGCAUUUUUACAAUGUGAAAAAGAAGUACAAGAGAAACAAAAGGAGCUUAAUAACAUUUUUGUGUGUCCAGGCUCUCUGUCCGAGGCUUUUUAUCCCGACUACACUGGAGGCUGUCCCACAAAAAAAUAUUUACAGUGCAACCACGGUGUUCUCACCAAGAAGACAUGUAACACGGGGAUGUUUUACAACGAUGGUAUUGACUCUUGUGACUCGUACACAAAAAUACCAUGUGCUGUUAGUAACGUUCAGUGUCCCCAGGACUUAAUCCACGGAAUAUACGCGGAUUACAGUUCAGGUUGUCCUCCAAAAAAGUAUUUUGUUUGUUUAGGUUAUUUUGAUGAGGCUGCGCAGACCACUCCCACCUACAAAUCUGAAUACACCUGUCCAGAUGGUCUCUAUUAUAAUGAAGGGAUUAAAAGUUGUGAUUUUAUACAAAACAUCCCUUGUCAACACAAUAUUAAAAACUGAUGGAACAUUAUAAAAUACAGUGUGCAAUACGUUUUUUUUUUUUUGGCAAACGGUAUGUCAGUUAAAAUACCGAAAAGUUUUAAGCAAAAGGACACACAUUUGGAUUUUGCAGCCACUUUAAAAUUUGUGUUAAAUGUGCGAAUCUCUUCAAUAUUUGAUGUCAUUUUCGGUCAUAAUUUAAGACGAUCUUCUAUCAAUUAUAAGUUGUUCUAGAAAGGUUAGGAAAGCUAGGUCACCCCGAAGAGUAACACUGUGUGGAAGGUACAUAUAGGCAAAUGUUUACUAUCCAUUUAUUAUAUCUUGCCUAAUAAAAUUUUGAGAAUUCA